Molecule: long non-coding RNA, 620 nt
Filed under: Canis lupus dingo (dingo)
Lineage: Eukaryota; Metazoa; Chordata; Mammalia; Carnivora; Canidae
Description: lncRNA (ENSCAFG00020026043.1)
Source: RNAcentral
GUCAUGGCUGGGAAAGUGUGCUGGCUCCCUAGGUCCUUUUCUGGAACCUCCUUCACCCUGCUCCCAACAUGUGUCCUCAGUGUGAAGCAACAAGAUACUGUGUGAAGCGGACAAGAAACAGCACAAAAGCCUGCGGUAGCUUUUGAGGUCAAGAAAUAUUUCCUUAGAGCAGCGGGAGCUGUGCCAAAGGCGAUCAGGCGGGCCACUCGGGAUUCAUCUGAAGUUCACCUUGCAACAGUGGCACCUCCUUCACAACACGGCCACGCUGGCGGUGGCCCUGAGUGAGGCAGAGAGCUCCAACUGCUCACCUCCCGGGAAGCCUUUAGUUACCUCCCGCUGACACAGGGCGCCUCAGCAGCUGCCACCAUGCGCGUCUCCAGUGGAAGAUGUUUACCGAUUGAUUUUUCAAGAUUUCGUUUACUUAUUUUAGAGUGAAAGAGCACAAGCAGGGGAGUUAAGGAUAGAGGGAGAAGGAGAGAACCUCAAGCAGACUCCUUGCAGGGCGCAGAGAUGGACUCAGGGCCGGAUCUCACGACUGAGACCAUGACCUGAGGCCAAAUCAAGAGUGAGAUGCUCAACUGACUGAGCCACCCAGGCGCCCUGGGAGAUGUUUAUUUAAG